RNAcentral lists this transfer RNA (90 nucleotides) under Thermopolyspora flexuosa. RNAcentral's name for it is "tRNA-Sec". The record is from RNAcentral. Lineage: Bacteria; Bacillati; Actinomycetota; Actinomycetes; Streptosporangiales; Streptosporangiaceae.
GCCGAAUUGGCGGACGGGCGGGGCAGCGUCGCUUUCAAAGCGGCGGCGAGAGAGCUCGGCGCAGGAUUCGGGUUCAUCACGAGUGCGGCA